Molecule: ribosomal RNA, 253 nt
Filed under: uncultured bacterium
Lineage: Bacteria
Description: partial 16S ribosomal RNA
Rfam family: Bacterial small subunit ribosomal RNA
Source: RNAcentral
UACGUAGGAUGCAAGCGUUGUCCGGAACUAUUGGGCGUAAAGAGCGCGCAGGCGGUAACUCAAGUCAGAUGUGAAAUAUCCGGGCUUAACCCGGAGGGGUCAUUUGAAACUGAGUAACUAGAGUACAGCAGAGGAUAGCGGAAUUCCCGGUGUAGUGGUGAAAUGCGUAGAUAUCGGGAGGAACACCAGUGGCGAAGGCGGCUAUCUGGGCUGAAACUGACGCUGAGGCGCGAAGGCUAGGGGAGCAAACAGG